This 505-nucleotide ribosomal RNA is filed under the name uncultured Actinomyces sp. RNAcentral's name for it is "bacterial SSU rRNA". It matches the Rfam family "Bacterial small subunit ribosomal RNA", at positions 28 to 508 of the family's 1533-position model. Lineage: Bacteria; Bacillati; Actinomycetota; Actinomycetes; Actinomycetales; Actinomycetaceae. The record is from RNAcentral.
GACGAACGCUGGCGGCGUGCUUAACACAUGCAAGUCGAACGGUGAAGCGCUUGCCUUUUUGGUGGGUGUGGAUGAGUGGCGAACGGGUGAGUAACACGUGAGUAACCUGCCCUCUUCUUCUGGAUAACCUCAUGAAAGUGGGGCUAAUACGGGGUAUUCCGGGUCUGUCGCAUGGCGGGUUUGGGAAAGAUUGCGCCUUUGGGUGUUUUCGGUGGGGGAUGGGCUCGCGGCCUAUCAGCUUGUUGGUGGGGCGAUGGCCUACCAAGGCGGUGACGGGUAGCCGGCCUGAGAGGGUGGACGGCCACACUGGGACUGAGACACGGCCCAGACUCCUGCGGGAGGCAGCAGUGGGGAAUAUUGCACAAUGGGCGCAAGCCUGAUGCAGCGACGCCGCGUGAGGGAUGGAGGCCUUCGGGUUGUGAACCUCUUUCGCCAGUGAAGCAGGCCUGCUCCUGUGUGGGUGGGUUGACGGUAGCUGGAUAAGAAGCGCCGGCUAACUACGUGC